CUGGCCCAAGUGCUCAGUCCCACACGUGGCUAAUGGCUACCACAUUGGAUGAUUCAGCUCUACCUCUUUCUGUACCCUACAGGCAAAUGGACUUCCCGAAAUGCAAAUAUCACCAGGCCUUUUGAUGUUUUAAGACGCAUCCUGGCUUCUCCAUUAUUCCUAAGAUAAAGUCCGUAAGGUUCUUCUUGAUGUGGUUCCAAGUCACGCUUCCAGACGACCUGCCCGUAAGCCCUCCAGUUCUGAUGCCCGAAAGUAGUGGGGAUCUGGAGACCACUGAUGGCUCAUCUUGGUUAACUCACAAUCGUCCAUCCAUCCAUCUAUGUACCUGUACAACCACCCAUCCGUUCAGGUGACUCCAGGAGCCCUAUGGUAAGUGUUGAGAAUACCUCGACAGAGAGCAGAUGCAUGCUUGCCCUGUGGAGCCUCAGCUGGGGGAGCCACUCUGAGACGAGAGCUCAGGACCUCUCCAGGUUGCUCGGAGUGUACCUUCUGUGUUCAGUCCCCAUGCUGGGUGUGGCUGAGAAAGCUUGAGCGUUGGAGAGCCACACCCACGUCCCAAGUGACCGAGCGUGUCAUGUCUGCACACGUGCUGAGCUCUGCUUUGCAAACCUUGGGGUUGCUUUGGAGAUCACGGGUACAAAUGGACAGGGACAUCCUUUGAAGUGUGUGAAUGGCUUUUAAAAUUUUGCUAUUACUAAAUCUCUGGUUCUGACUCCUGCCCAAAGAAGACCAGCUGGAACCUCUAGCCAAAAACCCAAGAACUAGGCAGUGAAAUGUAGUUUUAAAAAUACUGCAAAAUCGCAAGAUGAUGAUUUGGAUGCUGGAUUCAUUGCUUGAAGGUGUAUGACUUGGGCAAGCCACAUGGCCUGGGUUAGCUUCACGUGUUUGAUAUCCGUGGUAGGAACAAGAGCGAUAAUCUCAGACUGCCAGGGUGGUAGAAGGUCUCCUGGCAAAUGUCUGUGUUAAAUUCUUUCUCUUGGCCGGCGCUGAAGCUCACUAGGCUAAUCCUCCGCCUUGCGGCGCUGGCACACCGGGUUCUAGUCCCGGUUGGGGCGCCGGAUUCUCUCCUGGUUGCCCCUCUUCCAGGCCAGCUCUCUGCUGUGGCCAGGGAAUGCAGUGGAGGAUGGCCCAAGUGCUUGGGCCCUGCACCCCAUGGGAGACCAGGAUAAGUACCUGGCUCCUGCCAUCGGAUCAGCGCGGUGUGCUGGCCGCAGCGCGCCAGCCCUGGCGGCCAUUGGAGGGUGAACCAACAGCAAAAGGAAGACCUUUCUCUCUGUCUCUCUCUCUCUCACUGUCCACUCUGCCUGUCAAAAAAAAAAAAAAAUUCUUUCUCUAACUUAGCCACAUGGGGCGUCUUUGACUCUCUCUGGACCCCAGAACAGGAAAGGACACUUCACCUUGGCUAUGCAGGUGAGGCUUGGGGACUUAAAUAUGUGUGGUUUUAGGGAAGAGGAUGGUGACACAGGAAUUGACUUAGCAUUAGCUUGGGCUUUUAUUCUGCUUUAAUUCUAGUUUAAAAAAUAAACUUAUGUUUGAAUUCCUUUUUUUCAUACACUUAUUAAGUGUAUUUUUUCCUAUUAGGAAAAAAUUUUUUCAUUUGACAAGCAGAGAAACAAAGGUUGAGAUAGAGACACCGAGAAAGAGCACUCCCACCUGCUGGUUCAUUCCCCAGAUGCUUGCAAUGGCUGGGGCUGGGAUUGGAGCUGGGAGCUGGGAAUACAAUCCAGGUCUCCCAUGUGGGUGUCAGGAUCCCAAUAACUUCAGCCGUCACUGCUGCCUCCAAGGGUCUACUUGAGUUGGUGUCAGGAGCCAGAGUCAGGGAUUGAACCCAGACUCUGAUGUGGAAUACGGAUGUCUUAACUGGCUGCUGUUGGUUUUUUUUUUUUUUUUUUUUGAUUUAUUUCUUUGAAUGUCAGAGUUACAGAGGGCUUGAGGGGGAGAGACAGAUGGCCGCAAUGGCCAGAGCUGGGCUGGUCCAAAGCCAGAGCUUCCUCUGGGUCUCCAUCGUGGGUGCAAGGGCCUAAGGCCUCAGGCCAUCUACCCCUGCUUUCCCAGGCACAUUAGCAGGGAGCUUGACUGGAAGUGGAGCUGGGACUUGAAUCGGUGCCCAUAUGGGAAGCUGGCUUUGCAGGUGGCAGCUUUAUCCACUAUGCCAUAGUUCUGGCCCUUUAACUGGUUUCUUCACUGCUAGGACAAAUGCCUGAUCCUAGAUUUUCAUCGUUGACUGUUGGUGGUAGCUGUUGAUUCGUGUCUUGCCUGAGCUGAGAGCUAUGAAAAGUGAUGUUGGGUCAGAGAGUGACAUCUGGUUGCUGGUUUCAAGAUGCAGGUGGGAAAGUUGAGCCACUUUCCCCCUUCCUAUAAAUAGGGAGCUGGGAUGAGAGAUUACCACCAACAUAACAAGUUCAUGUGCAAGUUUGUACACGGAGCUCAUUAUGUCUGUUAAAAGGAAACGGGGAACCACCCCAAGCCGGGCAUCCUUGGGCAGGCUUCUCAACUUAUCUGCACCCAGCUUUCCCCUACAAAGUGGGGGUCACAGGGAUACCUACCUCAUAGAAAUGUGAGAAUAAACUAAGAUCAGCAUGCACUUAGAACAAUGCAGUAAGCACACAAUAAGUGCUUCCUUUUAAUUAACUUUUUUUUUGGCUUGUACUGGCAAAGAAUAGCGUUGGAAAGACACAAGCUCCCAGGUACAGUGUCACUGCCUCUCAACUGGCCUGUGGUCUGGAAGUGGGUGGGAUACUUGAUGUUUAACUUGGAUCUUUCUGCAUUGCUAGAAGAUUGCCCCUUGUAGCCAUUCUUUUUUUUCACAAAAACAGACAAGAACUUUUAGGAAGAGAGCAGAAAACCCCUUGGUCUACAUACUCACUGUACUAUUUUCACCUCUAGCAGGGACCAACAAACCAUGACAUCUCCCCCAGAUCCGACCUGGGAUCUGUCUUUGUGCCACUUCUAAGAUGGCCUUGACCCUUCAGGGAUUCCAUGGGGCCUGUGUGCGGCACAAUGGGUUAACUGCAGCUUGUGACACCAGCAUCCCAUACUGGGGCACCCAUUCAAGUCUUAGCUGCUCCACUUCCAAUCCAGCUCUCUGCUGUGGCCUGGGAAAGCAGUAGAAGAUAGCCCAGGUCCUUGGGCCCCUGUACCCAUGUGGGAGACCCAGAGGAAGCUCCUGGCUUCAGAUUGGUGCAGUUCUGGCCAUUGCGGCCAUCUGAGGAGGAAACCAUUGGAUGGAAGACCUCCCUCCCUCUCUCUGUGAAUAAAUCUUUAAAAAAAGUGCAUUCUCUCUCUCCCCACCCCAUGCUCUUUUAAAUAAUACUUUUAAAAACUGUAUAUAAAAAAUUCAAGAUAUUUACUAUCUGGCUGUUUACUGAAAAGGUUCUCUAGAGCAAAAAUAGUGGUUUUGUUUUAAAGAUUUUUUAUUUAUUUGAAAGACUUGGAGAAGCAGAGGCAGAGAGGGCAAGAUCUUCUAUGCAUGGGUUCACUCUCCAAAUGGCCACAAUGGUCAGGGCUGGGCCAGGCUGAAGCAAGGAGCCAGGAGCUUCAUCUGGGUCUCCCACAGGGGUGCAGGGUCCAGGCAGUCAGGACAUUUUCCACUGCUUUCCCAGGCACAUUAAUAGAAAGCUGGGUGGGAAGUGGAGCAGGUGGGACUUGAACAGGUGUCCAUAUGGGAUGCAGGUGGCGGCUUUACCCACUACACCACAGUGCUGGCCCCUAGUGUUUUUUCUUUAAGAUUUUAAAAAUUUGACAGGUAGAGUUAGACAGUGAGAGAGACAGAAAGGUCUUCCUUCCAUUGGUUCACUCCCCAAAUCUGUCUGUGCUGAUCCGAAGCCAGAAGCCAGGUGCUUCUUCCUGGUCUCUCAUGUGGAUGCAGGGCCCAAGCACUGGGGCCAUCCUCCACUGCACUCCCGGGCCACAGCAGAGAGCUGGACUGGAAGAGAAGCAACUGGGAUUAGAACCUGGUGCCUGUAUGGGAUGCUGGCGCCCUAGGCGGUGGAUUAACCAAGUGUACCAUGGCACCGGCCCCUUUUUUUAAGAUUUAUUUUUAUUUGAAAGGCUGAGAAAGAGGGAUCUUCAGCUGGUGGUUCACUCCCCAAAUGGCCACAAUGGCUGGAACUGGGUCAGAUUGAAGCCAGGACCCCAGAACUCCAUCCUGGUCCCAUGUGAUUAUCAGGGGGCCAAGCACUUGGGCCAUCUUCUGCUACUUUCCAGGCACAUUAGCAGGGAGCCAGAUUGGAAGUGGAGCAGCUGGGACAUGAACCAGUGCUACGAAGUGGGAUGCUGGCAUCCCAGGCUGCAGCUUAACCCACUGUGCCACAGUGCUGGUCCCCAUGUGUGGUUUUUAAAACGCUCAUGAUAGCCACUCAGAUGGUCUGGUCAGGGGCAUGGGACAGUGACUCCUUGGGACCUGGAGCAGGCUUGGCACAUAGUAGGUGCUCAGUCAGGGUUCUGAUGAAGGCGUUCACAGCAAAGAGGUUCCUCCCUCUGUCUUUGAGACUGGGAGCUCAGAGGCCAUGUGUUGCCUCCCUCUGAUCUCAGAGCUAUUUUAGUAGUAAAAGGUGUUCUCUUAAUUGAGUAAAUACUUCUUGUUUUCUUACUGUGGCUACUUCUUACCUUCUUCGUGACAGGUGGGUUACGUUUUGUUGGAGGGCACAGUGGGGAGGUAAUACUAACAGGGACCACUUGAUGGCGGUAUACCUCUUAGAAACGGGCUCAGAAAGUGCCUGGCGCCAGGGAGGAGUAGGUCUCCGGAUUUCAGGGUCUUGCCCUGGAUAGACAGAUCUUGUUCUCGACUUGCCCUUGUCACUCACCUAUCGUGUGACUGUCAGCAAACGACCUUUAGCCUCAAUAGCCUUAUAUGCAAAAGGCAGAUUAGAAUCCUGCCCACCUUGGAUGUUGUGUCAAGAGACCGACUGGAGAAGGCUCUUUGGAAACCAUGUGUGCAGCCGCAGAUGUGAGUUUGAAACACAGCCUCCUCGCCGUGGUGCAGCUCCAAAAAGCAUGGCAGCUUGGGUGACCUCCUGGGGUCGGGGGGCAGCGCUGUGCAGAGGGGACCGUGUUGUCGGCCGGACGUGAAGGCAAUGCUCUCUUCAGAGCUCCUGCCUUGCAGGUUUAAGGGGACAGGAGAUGCUAUGUGUCAAGCAUUUUGCAUAGGGUCUGGAAAUGUCAGCGGCUGCUUGAUGAUUUGUGAUUCUGCCCUUGGAGCCCCCUCUCAUCUCUCCUCUUCCUGCCUCUUCUUUGGCCAUUCUGACCCUUGGGAGGGGGGCGUCGCGUUUCUACCUCCAGCGUGGCCAAGGCUGCUGAGUUUUACCUCUCUUUAGUGUGUGUCCUGUCCCUGAUGUUCCACCUUGCUCUCCCCACAGUCACUGCCACAGCCUCCCAAGCUCCCUAAACCCUGCCUUGCACCCCACACAGUAGCCAUUUUUUAUGAAAGACUUAUUUGAGAGGCAGAGUUAGAGAGGCAGAGAGAGAGAGAGAGAGAGAGAGAGAGAGAUCUUCCAUCUGCUGGUUCACUCCCCAAAUGGCUGCAAUGGCCAGAGCUGAGCUUAUCUAGAGCCAGGAGCUUCUUCUGGGUCUUCCAUGCAGGUGCAAAGGCCAAAGGACUUGGGCCAUCUUCUGCUGCUUUCCCAGGCCACAGCAGAGAGCUGGAUUGGAAGUGGAGCAGCUGGGACUCGAAUCAGUGCCCAUUUGGGAUGCUGGCACUACAGGCAACGGCUUUACCUGCUACGCCACAGUGCUGACCCUCAUUUAUUUUCUUGAAGGCAAAUCUGAUUACUCCCCAGCUCAAAAUCCUCCCAUGGCUCUCUACUGCCAGCAAGAUACAGUUCAAGUUUCAUAACAUGGCCUCCUUCUAGGGUAUCUGAAAACCUGACUUCUGCCUCCCUCCUUAACCUACCCCCCCCUUUUUUUUUAAAUUUUUUUAAAAAGACAUUUAUUGAAAGGCAAGGUUAGAGAGGUCUUUCAUCUGCUGGUUCACUUCCCAGGUGGCCACAAUGGCCUGAGCUGAGCUGAUCCAACGCCAGGAGCUUCUUCUGGGGCUCCCGCGUGGGUGCAGGGGCCCAAAGACUUGGGCUGUCUUCUGCUUUCCCAGGCCACAGCAAAGAGCUGGAUCGGAAAAGGAGCCACUGGGACUUGAACCGGUGCCCUUAAGGGAUGCUGGCACUGCAGGCAGCAGCCCCACCCUGCCCUCUUUAUCCUUCCAAUCUGAACUAAAGUCCAGCUGGGCUCAUGUUUAAAUGAUAAAUCAGCUUCUCUUUGCCCCUGGGCCUUUGCACAAGCUGUUCUACCUGGAAAUUCUCCCCUUGUUCCUCACCUGGAUGCCCUUCUUGGCAAGGUCCUGCUUCCCUUAGUUCCAUUCCUUCUCCUUGAAAGUCUCCCCAGACAUCUCAAGUAUGAGUCGGUGCUCCCUCCCCCCGCCCCCUGCAAUCUUCCUGUGCCUGCUUUAAUUGGGCACUGCUGCACUGACUGGCCAGUGUCAUGAGAUGUCAGCUUUGAUGGUUGCCUGUCACUUGAGACAUGGGUCACCCUGGUAGAGUCCCCAUCCCACGUCUGGUGGGAAGCCAAGUGUCCGUCCCAGGUCUGCAUUCUGGAGAGCUCAUGUGAUCCUGGUCUCUCUAGCUUGGCCUCCUGUGCUUCAGAGCUCGGUAGUGUGUUGGGGUCCACAUCCCUCAAAGCCCUCUAUUUGCCCCCAAGCAACCCAGAGGGAAAACACAGUGCCGCUUCCUUAUUUCUUUAAAAUGCUGCUUAUGGAGGACACUUGGGCAUGUGGCAGGAAUCGCUGAAGUUCAAGGUGAUGGAGGGAUGUGGGUGUUGGCAUCGUAUUUCUUAGAGGUCGUUUGGCCAGCCUUUCAGCAGAAACCUCUCUCCCAAGGUCUCUACUCACUCGCGGGCUCCUCCUCCUGCUCGCCCUCCUUCGCAUUUCUCUCUCCAUUCUUUUUUCUUAAAUUGGCUCUGCUCCUUCUCUGCUACCCUUCACUCAAAUUUACAUUUAAUACAGGGCUGUGUAGGGUCUCCUUCAGUCUCUGCAUAGAUGGCAUCACACCUUAAUGCCUGGAAUAGCUCGGCAAAACAUCUUGUUAGCCACAGGGUACCUUGGAGGAGAGAUGCGUCUGUUGUAUAGUCCCUGGGUUCCCUACCCCAUCUCGUUAGCUGGCCAAGCUCCACGUGAACUCCACGAGAGCAGAGACCCUUCCUGCCUCGUUCACGGCUCCAUUCUCGGCACCCAGGACUUGGCUAAUGCCUCCUGGGCUCUCGAUGUGCGCUGGAUGAGUGAGUGACAGAAUAGGUGAAUGGAGCAGAUGCUGCUUAGACUGAACAGUGUUUCCUAUUCAACUCUCCUCACCACUUUGGAAUUACGGAGAGAGAUGGAAGCCCCCUACGUGAAUACCAUGAUAAUCUGGGCAUAACAGCAGAUUAAGACCAGUUUCUCAAUGGUUUAUUCCGCUCAGCAAUCACUUGAGAGUUGACAUGACCACAGCUCCGCAAAUAUGAGAGCUAGGUGGGCUUAAGACCAAGAGGAGGUGAGGGUUUCAAAGGCAAAGAACACUCACGUGUUUGGGGAUGACAGGGAGGUAAGCUUCCCUGUGUAACCAAGACCACCAGAAAAUCUGUGAGCACUUCCACUGUUGGGAUUUUCUUGUACAUCUUGUACCUUGUUGCCUAGAUGGGUAAUGGCCCUUCCACCCAUCCCUCCACCCACCUACCCACCCAGCCAGCCAUCCACCCAUCCACCCAUCCACCCAUCCCUCCACCUACACAUCCAUCCAUCCAGGAAGCACAUAUAAUGUUGAGGAACAACGCUGCAGUUUCAGUGCUGUGAGAUGGGGAUGACAGCAGUACCAGCUUAACAACGUGCGCUGGAGACUUAGGUGAUCUUCUAUGGGAGGAGUCUGGCUGCGUAGCAGAGGCUCGAUGGGUGGGGACUGUCCCUAUUGAUAGGAUCUGAAUACUGCACCCAAACUCCGGGGUGAUAUCAAACUCGGCUCGACUUUAUUCAGAAUCUGAGAGGGAGGACCAGGGUGGAGGGAUCCUGAGAAGGGAUUUGGCGUCAGGCCUGGCCCACAGGAAGAACAGGGGUGUGGUGGGGGAGGCAAGGCAGGAUCCAACUUCCAGGUGCUCCUUCUGCAUCGUGAUGGACACGUCGUGGGGGCAGGUGGAGGCAGGGACAUGGUGUCGAUUGGCCCUCUCCCCUCGGGGACAGCUGGUGGACCCAGGCUCAGGCUACGCCAGGGUGCUGUGGGGCCUGAUGGGCGUGCUGAGCCGGCCCUGGAGCCAGCUGAUGUAAUCCUCUUGAGGCAUAUGGAUGAUGUGUUCCCGUACAAACUGUGGGACAAACACAGGGUGUUCAAAAAGUUUAUGGAAAAUGGAGUUGAAAGGUAAGCUUAGUUCAGUGCAAGAUUGUUUGGAAAUCCACCCAUGCUGACAGCUCUGUGGCCUGUCCCAGGCUGGGAACUCCAGGGGUCCCUUUAGCCGGAGGCACUGGAAGCUCUACUAGGAUGCACAGAUGUUAUAGAAUUAAGGAAGGGACCUCAUCAGUAUCGGCUAACAUCUUACAGCCAGGAGUCUUUGCUGCACGGCCGGAGGGGACAGAGUCCUGGGACCUCCUCUCAUGAGGGUGAACCACUCAGAGAUGAAGACCUAACUCUUGGCCCUGCUCUACCAGGGUCUGUGCACACCGGCCUCUCCAGCCCGUGGGGACCCACGCACCUCCCUGCUCACUUCUUCCACACCCACUGCCGGCCACUGUGUUUCUCUCACCCGGUUGGGUCCUGCCCUAUAACCUCGACACGUGUCCUGUUUUUGACCCUUUCUCUUCCUAGUGCUGUCUUCACGUUGCUUAGGCCUCAACUUCAAAGCCACGUUCUCCAGUUCGCCCCAGUCCGAGGAGGUGAGCUAACUUACGUUAAACCGGAGCACCUCAAACUUUAUCGUGUGGACAGAACACCUGUGGCCCUAUUGCCCUGCAAGUCCCGUGCUGGGGAGAUAGGGCUUGAAGCUGGGGCUUCUGCUUUUCUUACAAGUUCCCCAGGGAGCCAGGUUCAUGCUGUUGGCCCUUGGACCACAUUCUGGUAGCAAGGUGCAGGGAGCACCUUCCUAUGAUUGGCCAAAGUCUCUGGGUUUCCAGUGGGUGCCGUUUGCAUAGAAUAGAACAUCUCUGAGACAUGGAGGCCCAUGGCCAAGGUCACUUGACCAGUGCCUGGGUGCUGAGAGAUGACUGGAUGUGGGCAUUGUGUGGGGGAAGGGGCACGGGGCUGACCUCGAUGGCCACGGCAAUGUCGGGGGAGCACAGCUCCCAGACUCUCAGCUCCUGCAGCACCUUCAAGAGGAUGUGGGGCCGAAUCCUCAGGUCCAAGUUCUCCCCAAACUUCUGCAGUUUCAGCAGGACCUUCUUGGCGGGGAGGAAGUUCUUCAGGUCCUCGGGGAGCUUAGACAGGAGGUCAAAGUACCUUCGAUCCCAAAGAGGAAGGGGGGCCGGUUAGGGAGCUGUGGGAGAUGGGUCUGGGCUGCCUGCGCCCUCCACCUCUGCGUUCUGUGUCUGCAAGGACAGCGUGCAUCUCUCCCUGGGAACUUUCCCCCUGCCCCAGCUCGUGAGGGCACAGGGAGGGGCAGGACUUUGUCUGUAGGGGUUAGGAAAUGCUGGAGUGUGACUUGUGUCCAUUCGGUGUUGAGGGUGUGCUUUCAAGGGAUGCACUUGGCUUUAUUUCAUGCAGGGAGUGGGAAAAGCUAGAUGCAAGGAAGGGAUGUUGGGAUUGUAGCUUCCCUUCUGAGAGUUAACCAGGCUGGUUGCACGUGGAUUACAUGCAGGGGAUGCGGGAGGUUGGCCCGUGGAAGAGGGCUGCACGUGGAUUACAUGCAGGGGAUGCGGGAGGUUGGCCCGUGGAAGAGGACGUGGGUGCGUGUUUUCCCAUGUCCCUGACAGCUCAGUGUGUUCCAGCAUCGCAACAGGACCCCAGCCUGGAGAGGUGGGAACAGGCAGGUACUAACCUGCCUCCAUGGAUGGGUCAGAUGUGAUCAAGGCUUUGGGCAGGGAAUAACAUUUCCUUAAAGAAAAGUGACCAGUAUUUUGCAUAGUGGCUAAGAUGCAGCUGGGAUGCUUGCAUCCGAGUCGGAGUACCUGGGUGUGAGCUCUGGCUCUGCUGUUCAGCUUCCUGCUGAUGCUCACCCUGGGAGGCAGCUGUGAUGGCUUGUGUAAGUGUCCUACUCACUUGCGGGGGAGCCCUGGUUGACACUCUGGCUCCCAAAUGCCAUUGUGAGAUUGGGGAAGGGGAGUAAGCCUGCAGAUGGGAAUGCCUGCUCUGUCUCUGCCUUUCAGAUAAAUAAAUGAAACAUAACUUUGUUAGAAAAAGUGUCCACUCAACCCCAAGGGAUAUUCAAAAAUUCCAUGGAAAAUGUGUAUUAUGAAAAAACCAUGCCUGGAUCUAAACUUAUCUUUUAAUUCUAUUUUCCAUGGGCUUUUAGAAGUAACCCUGGGUCUGUGCCCAUUGUGGGAAAAUUUUGAAGAUACUGAUCCUUCAUCAUCCAUCUCUGGCUACUCCUACUGCUUAACUUUUAUGGUAGGUAUUUACGUAUUUAUAUCUCCUGGUUUAGGAUGAAAUCCCCAUGGGAUCAGGACCUUGUCUGAAUUACUGAGUAUCCAUAGUAUGAGAAAUCUGCUGACUCAUAGCAGGUGCACAACAGUUACUACUUGAAGGACUGAGUGAGUAACUGGAUGGAUGAAGAAUUAGGACUGGGCGUCACAUUAGGCUGGGUGUGUCUGCCUAGGUUUUCAUGUCGCUACAGAGGACAACCGCUCCCCCCAGGAAGAUGCUGGAAAUUCAACUCCUAGAGGAUGGGUUGAAGCCCACCGUGGAGGGCCAGUGUUCAUCUCCCACUGCGAUACUCCUAUGUGGCUAGUUUAUGACUUUUCUCCCCCUGCCUGACAUCCACUUCCCUCCCAAGGAGGGGAGAGGGGUCACAGAAGACCCCUUGCCCCUGAGAGCCUCAGGGUGGGUGUUGGGAGGAGGAUUGCUCUGUGAGGGAGAGGCAGUGGGGAAGGUCCCACCACCCCGCCAGGAACCCAGGCACUGGCUUGAAGCUCCCAUCCCGUGGUACUAUAGUCACGGAAGGGAUUCUGGACACACCUUUUGGGCUUUGUCAUCUUCCGCUGUUAGGAUGGGGACAGCACAGCUCAUGGGACUUCAAUGCUAUAUUCUUGCAAGUGAGCAUACAGACUGGGGUCAGGUGGGGGUCUACAUCCUAAAUUCACCAUUUGCUAUGGAAGUGAUCUUGGACAAGUUAUCUGUUUUCCUGUUUGUGAAAUAGGGGUUGCAUUGUAUGCCCUGAGGAUUUCUUCUGGUAUGGGAUGAACUAGAUAAUUAAUGGAAGUUCCUCAGGUAGCACCUGCCAUCCACCAGUCACUCAAUUAGGGCUGCAUAGUGUUGUUACUUUGUUACCACCCUUGGGAUGAGGCACAGUGGCCCUAGGAUAUACAUGCCCAGGCAUCCUUUAGGGAUUAAACGUGAGAGGAAAUGAGCGGAUCACCCCACAGACCUAAAAAUCCAUGGGGAAUUUUGUGUUGGUGAGCCUCACCCAGUGGGUGGGCAGGGUGGUCCUUAGCUGUGGAUCUGAAUUGAACAGAACACAAGUAUGGAGAACACCGUGGACAGGGUUAUCCACAGUUUAACAACGUGGCUGUUCCUGCCCGACUGCUCUGGAUUUGGCCUGGUCAUGGGGGCCUGCUGGUGGCCAGUGGCGGUUUUUGGGUGAUGCUGUCUACGGAAUCCACUGCAAUCCCCUGCCCCUUUCGGGGAUCGUCUCGCCUGGUUCUCGGGACCCUUACCAGUGGUCUGCGAUUUCCUCUGCGUCCCCCUUUAUGACCGCUACUUGAUGUCUCAUUUUCGCCAGAUCCUUUUGAAAGUUUGAGACGAGCACAAAAGAAUCGAACUUCUGGAGACCUCUCUCUUCUUGGCGCCUACAGGGUUGUAAGAGGAGUUGGGUCCCCCUCCUUUGGCCAUCCCAGCUGCCCCCAGAGAUUGCUCACCUAAACACUCUCCUCAGCCUCCAGAGGUCCUUGUCGACCUCUCAGCUGCUCUUCACCAUCUGGCCUUUGCACCAAGAUGACAGAGGGGAAUUGGACAAGUUCAGGGAGAAGGAAUUAAAAGGUAAGUUUAUUUUGGUGCAAAGAUUUCAAAUCCAUGCAUUGAAGGAGUCUUCAACGUGGAUGGAAAAUGCGUGCCACGGAAAGUGUGGAUUUCAAAAUCCACUGCAUAGCUCUCCAGGGUCCUGAAACACUGUUCUUGCUAAAUCGAACCUCUCUGUCUUCCUCCCUCUGCUUCUGACCAUGUUCACACACGUGUCCCACCUGUUACACGGGGGAUGGUGAUGCUCCCUCCUCCGGGGAGGUGGGUUCACGGGGACAGGUGGACGCUGUAGUCAGCCAUUCGCUGUCCUAGCCCGCGUUCUAUCGGGCUGUCAGGGUAGAAGGGAAAAGCUUCCGGGGGCCUGCUGAAGCUUUGAAAACAGGUCCAAGCCCUGGAGCCUGCAUUUGUGACCGUGUGAGAGGCAGCCUUCACUGCCACCACUCGUUCCUCUUGAGGUGCCCCGGGUUCCUUUUCCACUGUAGGACUUUGGAUGCGCUGCUCCUCUGCUUGGAACAACGUUCACCCUGCCCAUCACGGUCCCAGCUCCUCUGCAAGUACCCUCCUUGGAAAUCCUCCCACCUCAACUAGGUUCGUGCCCACCUCCUCCUGGCACGGCAGUUCUAACUGGUGCCCGCAUGGUUGUAGGUGCUGGUAUUUUGCUUCUGCCCCUAUUUGCAGGAGACUGUAAGUGCCUCUUGCCCUGUUGCAGCCCCAGCAGCUCGUGCUGAGGGAACACACGGUAGGGCCCGGGGGGAUGUCUCUUGCGGGAAGGGGUAUGUGUGUGCCCUUACUUUAAGAAGAUCUCCAUCUUGUCCUGAAGGCAGAAGCCAGCCUCCUGGGCCACACUGUAAAACUUGGCCCUCAUGCUGUUACACACCCCCAUCUUGCAGUGGAUGAGGUCAUGGGUGGCCCGGCUGCAGACAGAGGAGAAGGGUUCAGUGGACACCACCCCCUGGCCUUGUGGGGCCUGCUCUGACCUUGCUGCCCUGUGGGGGGAUUUCCUGAACCACCUGGGCUGUUUGCCUUCCCCUAGAGCCUCCCUCAGCCUCUCCGUGGGGGUGGGGAGGCCAGAUCUUCAGGCCUUGCUAAAUGAGCCUAUGGUGAUACACUGGCCCACUUGAGCCCGGCAAAGGUCAUGGACAGUGCGAGGGCAUUUGGAGUGGGGAGAUCUGGGUUCCAGGUCCACACUCCUCAGCUGGGUGGCCUCACCCCCGAUGUGGCCAUGUUCCUGCCCACUCUUCCGUCAGUUUUGAGGACUAAGCAAGGUAGAGCAAGACAGCAGGUGCAGAAGGCUCCCCCGGUGCCUGGCACCAUGCAGGGAUGGAGCGCCAUUGCCUGCUUUGCCACCCAGCAUCGUGGCCAAAGACCCUUGUCCCUCAGCACUGCCUGUGACUUCCGCAAGUCUGGUCUGCACGGGGUCACUUCCACACCUCUGGGAGGCCAGAGAGGGUGGCCUUACCUCUUGGACUUCUUCUGGACUAGCAGCGUGUGGCUCUCUGCACUCGUGCUGCCAGACCGUUCACUGAAACACAAAAGUGGGAUGGCUUCAGGUUACCCUGAGUCUGCUUCUCACACACAGGUGACCUCAGGCCCCCAGUGAACCUGCGAGCCUCCCGACUCCAGGGGAGGUGGGUGCCUCCAAUCGGGGCACCUGUCAUGGAACUCUGUGGCUUUUUCUCCACCUCUUUGCCUUCCUGGAGGUCCUCCUCGUUUCUCUCCCACCUGUUCACGUUGCCUUGUGGUCCCCAGCAAGUAUUGACAUUUGCACACUGCAGUCCCACUGGCCCUCUGCCUCUUAGCUGGGUCCCCAGCUCGGCAUAACCUUGUUCUCUCCCGCUGGAGGGUGGGUUCUCUCUGGGAUUCCUCCACCUUCCUCACCAUCCCCAGAACUGACCCAGGGCCAAGUGCAUGUUUGGAGACAGGAUGGCCGAGUCCUCCCCGAGUGUCGCUGCCCCCGGAUUCUCUCUCCAUGCAAGGACUGAGUUGGACACUGCCUUAGGGGCAGACACAAAUAGUUCCAGAGCCCAACCUAGCGGCCCCUGCUCUCCACUCUCCAGUCUGUGAGCAGUCAAUUCCCCUCGGGACGGUCAGUCUCCUCCUGUGACCCUGGCUGAGUGCCUGCUCCCUCCUGGGACUGCUGCAGAGUUUAUAGAACAGAGGGAGGGGCCCCUCUCAGGCCUGCCCCUUCCCCCAGUCCCCCUCUAGAGCAGGGCCUGAAGUGCCAUCGUCCAGCACUUUCUCUCCUUCCAGAUGCUCCGGCAAUGGACCUGCCACGUUACCUGUGUGAUUCCAGGGCCGUAGCAGCUUGGCUGUCUGUGUGAGGUGGGGCUGCCCCAUCACGUCCAGUGCUAUGACACUGGAUGCUUCUUGCAGUGAGUGGGCCUGGACACAUCCCAGACCCUUCCUGGUGUGAAAGGUCCUGACCUUUUUAUUGCUUCUUCCAGAAGCUCAUGGCACUGGAGCCAGAAGUCUUAGGCUUAGUCAGCGAUUAGCAAACCCUCGUCCCACCGGGCAGGCACGCAGGCCCCAGGAGUAGCAGCCCGAACGCUGGCCUUAUCUUUGGGCUCCGGUCGUCUGCCCCGACCCCUGCACGUGAAUCCUUUGAGGGCCCGUGAUGGCCCUGACCUUCCUCCUGUAAGUGGCUCAGAUGGGAGAUGGAGGAAACCAGGUAAACAAAUGCUGCCUCUCUCUCCCCUCCCCUUGGUCCUCCUGGUGUUGCGUCCACACUGGUGUUUGCUCAGUGCCUUGAAGUCUCCUCCUGCCUCAGGCCCUUUUCGUGUGCUACCUCUGUGUGGAACACUGCUCCCACCUUUCCUUCCUCUGAGCCCAGCCAGUUCUUCUUCAGGUCUUUGCUUAAACGUCAAGGCCAGCACGGGUUAGGACCCUGGUGCUGGAAGUCCGCCCAGGCGUCAGUUUCCUUCGGAGCACUCUUCCCAGGCAUGAUCUCCUGGCUAAGGGUGGGGCUAUUUGAGGGCUGCUGGGACCCCCCCCCACUUCGUUCAACCAGUGCUGCUUACACGUGGGCAGGCUUCGAGGGACCCGUGACUGCAGAUAUGAGAAAUGCUACACCUUUAUUCUAGCUAGACUUUGCUAAAGUGGAAGUCAUGGGCAUUUGCAUAUUAUACUACAACUGCAGGAGAUAUUUUGAAAAAUCAUCUACCCUCACCACUAAUCCAAAAUUAUAGCAGUUAUUAGACCUGCUGUUAAGUCUUGUUAGAUAAUUCACUAUAACGCAAGCUCACAGACUGCUAUAUCCCAAAUAUGGUUGCAGUAUAGAACCUAUAUUGCUAUAGAUUUCGCAGUAAUCAUUUGCAAUUACAGCACACAUUUAAACACAGCUGGAUGGAGUCCAUGGGCUUUCUCAGGCUCCCCAAGGACCACAGAUGCCCCAGAUGUUAUGACAUCAGCCCAGUGAGAUCCCCGAGGGAUGAAGGAGUUUGUUUGCUCCUGGGUCACCCAGACCCACCACCAUUGCUGGCACACAGAGGGGAGCUAAGAUUAUUCUUUAAAUGAAUUGGAGGGGACACAUCCACCUCCCUCAUGAAAAAUCACCCAAGUAAAGAGGGCAGGGCUGUUUGACCCUGCGUCAGCUCCUCCUGGCUCCAUACCUCACUACACACAAAGCACCACCCCCGGCUCACUUUACGCUGGGGAGAAACCCCUGGGUGCUCAGCCGCAGCCUGGGAGUGAAGGGGCCAUUUCCAGUGAGGGCCCAAGAAGGAAGCCCCUCGCCCCAUCUCUACCUCCCACAGUCUGGGGAGGGGCAUCCCUGCUCUGCCUCCUGUUCAGGUUACAGUUCUCCCUACCUUGACUUGUGGGUGGUCUGUCCAUCCUUGAGGGCAGAAUCGCUCUUGUUGGGUUUUAACACUGACAGGAUGCUGCAAAGCAGGAGGAGUCUGUUUAGUCAGGCUCUGAACGCAUGGUGGCCCUGGGCUGGCAGACACGGGGGAGGGCAGGACGUGCUCCUGCUGGAGCAGGGAUCUUCGGGUGCCGUGGGCACAGCCUGGAGAACGGGUUCAGAAUAUGGAUUCCUGCCGCAUUUUAGAGGGUUGGGUUCACUGGACCUGAAGUGGGCUCCAGAAAGCUGCAUUUAGAACUGCACUGCCGGCGCCACGGCUCACUAGGCUAAUCCUCCGCCUUGCAGUGCCAGCACACCGGGUUCUAGUCCCGGUCGGGGCACUGGAUUCUGUCCCGGUUGCCCCUCUUCCAGGCCAGCUCUCUGCUGUGGCCCGGGAGUGCAGUGGAGGAUGGCCCAAGUCCUUGGGCCCUGCACCCCAUGGGAGACCAGGAGAAGCACCUGGUUCCUGCCAUCAGAUCAGCGCGGUGCGCCGGCUGCAGUGCACCGGCCGCGGCGGCCAUUGGAGGGUGAACCAACGGCAAAGGAAGACCUUUCUCUCUCUCUCUCUCUCACUGUCCACUCUGCCUGUCAAAAAAAAAAAAAAAAACUGCACAUGGGGCUGGCACUGUGGUAUUAGUAGGUUAAGCCAGCAUCCCAGAUGGGCACCAGUUCGAGUCCCAGCUGCUCCACUUCUGGUCCAGCUCCCUGCUGAUGUGCCUGGGAAAGCAGUAGAUAGCUGUGCAAGUGCUGGCCCCCUGCACCCAUGGGGGAGACCUGGAAGAAGCUCCUGGCUCCUGCUUGGCCCAGUCUGGGCCCUUGUGACUAUUUGGGGCAUGAACCAGUGAAUGGGAGAUCAAUCAAUCUCUGUAACUCUGCCUUUCAAAUAAAUCUUUGACACACAAACACGGACACAUAUAUACACACACCAAUAGGUGUACAUAGGCACAGACCCAUCUACAGACAGACACACAUACCCCUAGAAUUCCGAGCAUACUGUGAAAUCACAUCUACGAGAAGUGCUGGUUAAGAAAUGUGGCUGCCAUGGGGGGCGGGACAUGGGGUGCAGUGGCAAAGUUGCUGCUGGGGAUCCCCGCAUUCUACCACAGGGCCUGAGUGCAAGUCCUGGCUCUGCUUCUGAUCCCAGCAUCCUGCUAAUGCCCUGGGAGGCAGCAGAGAUGGCGUACAUAGUCGGGUCCCUGACACUCAUGCAGGAGACCAGGCCCGAGUUCUGGGCUUGUGGCUUAGGCCUGACUGAGCCCUGGCUGUUGUGGGCCUUCUGGGAGUGAACCCGCACACGGGAGAGCUCUCCCCUCUCUCUCCUCCCUGCCUUUCAAACAAAUUCCAGAAACCCACAUUGAGUGGGUCUGGGGUCUGGUAUUUUUCACAAGUAGCCCAAGCCAGGUCUGGUCCCUCAGGGAUGGUUGGGAAAGGGUAUUUUAAGGAAGGGCAUUGCCUUAGAUGAGGAGAGAGGAGCCGUCUGGCCUGGAGGCCAGACCAGACCAGCUGGCUUUAUAGGGGUUUCAGAAACCCUAGGAUUCCAUGUCCACCGUGGUGGGUGCAGCUUCGGUGCCUACAGUGACGAAGGAACCCGGAUUUUAAGGGGAGGGGGCAAAAGGGAAGGUGCAGCUUUGCCUGAGGGCCCCUCAGCUCCACCAUGUGGCCCCUGUGUGCUGCCUGAGUGGGACAGGAGGGAGCUGCUUCUCCAGGAGGAAGGAGCGAGUGAGGGAUGUUUCAAUGGACUCCUGCUCGGUCACCAUGGUUAUUGAUCAUUAAAAAAAUCAAGUGCGGAGACCACGUGGGGGAUCUUGCGUGUGCACCUGUCUUUGAAGACCCGGAGAAGUCUCUGAGAUGUAGGCUGCAUUUUGGGGUGCUGGUGGAGGUGCCUGACUCAGCCAGAGGCUGACCCCACCCACCGCCACCAGGGCUGGAGCACUUCCUGUAGGCCAGCCCAUGCUAAGACAACACAUAAACGCAUCCUCUCACUGUGCACUUAAAAUGACUCACGGACGCAGAUGUUAGUUCUAGAACAUGCAUACUGCUUUGCAGGGGUCAUAUCCCUGGUGGUGGAGUGCUUGCCACAGCCCUGCGGGAUGGGUUACUGAUCAGCCUCACUUUGAAGAGCUAGAAUCGGACACAGAGAAGCAGUGGCUGGCUCAGCGCCACCUGAUGGUUACGUAUGGGGAUGUAGGUUGACCCUGGGCUCUGUGGAUCCAAAGCUGACGCCACCUCACCCUACAGCUGAGAAAACAGAGCUUUAGAGAGAGGCUGAGUGGCUUGUCCGAGGGUGCUAGGAUUUGGAUGCAUGUCCGUCUGACCCCCAGGCCAAGGCUCGUGGUCUGAGCUCUUACAGGGAGGAUCGGGGCCCCUCUGAACUGAAGCUGUACCCCUCACUGUUCCCUGUCACUCAUGCUGACAGUCGGGCCCAGCAGUGGGGGCUUUGGGGCCAACGCUGUCUCUGGGCACCCCCAGUGUCACCUCCCAGAGCCCUGAUGUGAGCCGAGGUGGCAGCAGACAAAUUCAUCACCAGUGAGAGCAAUGCUUGCUGAACUGUAAUUACGGUAAUAACAAUAACCAAUAAGUCAGAGCCGGCAUCCCCGUAGGCUGAAAGCAAUGAUGAUGAACCUCUUCUGGUGCCUCAUUUAUUCUCGGGAAGCAAUUUGCUUACUCAGAGGAAUCUACACUUGGGCAGGGAGCGCCAGCUCCAGCCCGCGUUCUCUGAGGCUUCCCACAGGGAGGAACGGGUUCAAGUCUGACACCACCUCCUUGGGAGUCCCUCUAUCCCUCCGGUCGCUGACCUGACACAUCAGAGAAUUCCUGUCCCACUUGGGAUAAAAACCAGAAUCCUUGAGGUUGCUUCCAACGUCUCCAGCCCAAGUUAUGUUUUCCCCAUAUCCCAUAUAGGCUGCAUUUCAGUUUCUCAAAGGUACUGUGGUCCCUUUUGACCACAUUGGCACAUCUGCUCCCUGUAACAGGCUCUUCCACCUCCAUGUCUCUGCCUGCAAUCCCUACCCUGGCCUUGGCAGGCCGGCUCUCUUUCAUGUUUCAUCCAAGAUCACAACUUCAAGUUUCUGUCUUGAAGGCGAUUUCUCUGCUCCCCACCCCAUCCCAGACUAUAUUCAACACCGUGCUUGUCCUCACAGUUCUGAGCCUUCCUUUCCCAACGCCUCAGUAACAAUCAGUACCCGGCCUGCACACUGGCAUCUGUGUUCUCUCAAAGACCAAUGAGCAAGUACUGCAUCCUGGUAGGUGGUGUAGCAGGGCGGUGAAGAGAAAGGUUUCUGGAAUUAGAUCUGGAUUUGAGUCAUGGUCUCAUCAUUCACUCACUGAUACACCUUGGACAAGUCACUUAGCCUCAUUUCCUGACUCAUGGAAUAAGGAUAACAGUACCCAGCUCAGAGGGCUGUGGUGAGAACUCGGGAGGUGAUACCUACCAGUGCUUGUCACGGAGGAAAUGCUUGGUCAUGGGUAACUGCGACAGUGAAUGUUAUCACUGCACGGCCAACAUUCUUCACUCGCCCGAAGGAGGCAGGAGAACAUACCUGGGUGCUUUCUUCUGCAGCCCGUUUUCCAUCAGGAUCGUCCGCCGGGCAUGCUCCCGAACUAUCUCUAGGAGCUUCUGCAGAUCUGAUGGGAACAUAAAAGGCCAUUCUUGAGUGCAGGGUACCCUGGAGAAAGACCUGUGCUGGGCAGCGCCAGAGCCUAGACUGGGAUCACCUCUGCCUCUCUAGGGAGAGGGGUCUGACAGCUUGUGGUGGAGCAGCUUGUGUUGGUCGGUGGGUUGUGUAUCUGACCAUGCCAUGACUCUUCCAUUCUCUUUCCAGAUUCCUCUGCAUGGCUGGUGAGGCCUCAGGGAUCUGCUCUCUCUUUUCUCCCCUCGAACAGAAUCUGGGGUGGGGCAACUGGCCCUCAUUCCUGCUGCAGGCUGGCCAUGGUCUUUUGCUGGGCAGGGACUCUCCAGCUCCCCCUGGCUUCCACUACCCCUCACUUCAUUAGGUGACUUUUAUUUUUAGACUUGAUAUUAUUGAUUUUUUUAAUAGUGUAGAAAUACUUCUUUAACCUGAAUGUUAGGGGUUGAAUUUGGGUCCCCUUCAAAAAAAAAAUAGGUUGAAAUCCAGUAUUUCUUUUAUUUAUUUGACAAAUAGAGUUAAAAAGAGAGAGAGACACAGAGAAAGGUCUUCCUUCCGUUGGUUCACUCCCCAAAUGGCCACCACAGCCAGAGCUACACUGAUCCAAAGCCAGGAGCCAUGUGCUUUCUCCCGGUCUCCCAUGCGGGUGCAGGGGCCCAAGCACUUGGGCCAUCCUCCACUGCCUUCCCAGGCCACAGCAGAGAGCUGGACUGGAAGAGGAACAACCAGGACUAGAACCUGGUGCCCAUAUGGGAUGCCGGAGCCACAGGUGGAGGAUUAACCAAGUGAGCCAUGGUGUAGGCCCCAAUCCAGUACUUCUGAAUGCAACCUUAUUUGGAAACAGAGUUGCUGCAGAUAAAAUUGGCUAAGGCAAUGUUGUACUAGAGUAGGGGAGUGUUUAAUCAGUGUGACUUGUGUCCUUAUAGUGAGAGUAGAGACACACAUACAUGGAGAAAAUGACUGGGUGAUGAUAGAGGCAGACUGCAAUGAUGCAUCCAGAAUUCAAGAAAUGCCACUGAUCACCAGUAACCAGCAGGAGCUAGAAGAGGCAAAGAGAGAGCCUCUCCAGAGACAUCAGAGGAAGUGAGGCCCUGCAAUCACAUGGAUUCUGGAUUAUCUGGCAUCCAGAACUAUGAGACCAGUAGCCUUCUGUUGUUUUAAGCCACGUGGUCUGUGGCAACUUGGUUAUGCAGCCCUGGGAAACUAACACAUGGGACAAUCUCAAAAGUUGGAAAGUGAAACGGAGUAAGCUGUGCAUUCCAAGAACACUGGUAGAGUGGGAGUGAAUGAUCCUGUCUUAUAUAGUCCAGUCCCCUUGACUCAUUUUUACUCCCUUGUGUGGAAUCUUCUGAUGCAAAACCAUGGGCUUUGGGCCAUCCUUUGCUUUGAGUUGUAGCUGUCCGUGGUGCUGAAAUAUCACAGUGUGAUGACUUGAUGACUACAGCUCCUCCAGAAUUUCUCCUGAUUUAUGAUCAAGGAGAGAGGAGAAUGCAUAUGGAAUGAGGAUCAGAGGAAAAACACCAAUAGAGAGCCACUGGAGGAUCAGAAAUGUCUCAAGAAAUAAAAGGGAAUAACUUUUGGGAUGGUUUUCAAAUAAUUCUAGGAACCAAGAAGAGAAUACAAUCCACAAUUACUGGAACUUGAGCAACUGAAACAAUAGUCUUAAAAAUGCAUUAUUUGGGGCCAGCGCUGUAGCAUAGUAGUUUAAACUUCUGCCUGUGGUGCACGCAUCCCAUAUGGGUAUGGUUUGAGUCUCAGCUGCUCCACUUCUGAUCCAGCUCCCUGCUAAUGUGCCUGGGAAAGCAGUGGAAGAUGGACCAAGUCCUUGGGCCCCUGUACUCAUGUGGAAAACCUGGAAGAAGCUCCUGGCUUCGGAUUGGCCCAGCUCUGGCCAUUGCAGCCAUUCGGGGAAUGACCCAGGUGAUGGAAGACCUCUCCCCCUGUGUCUCUCCCUCUCUCUAACUCUGGAUUCCAAAUAAAUAAAUAAAAUCUUUUUAAAAACUGGACAUGAUCUUAUGUGCUUACACUGAGGGCUACACAGUAUGGUUCUUGUGGCAGUGCAAAUAUUACACAAACUGGGACUAGCACCCAGACUCUGGUCUCCUGUGAGAGGAGAUGAGCAGAGACUAUACCGACAGAGCUGAACAAACCUCUCCCCUCUAAUAAGAGAAAAAACAAAAGAGAUUUACCAUGCCGAACUUGGGUGUCACCUUGAACACUCCCUUCACUCCAGAGCACUGAACAGAGCUCCCUGGUGACUCCUACCACAUGCCUCUAGAUAUUCACUGAAAAAGCAAACACUCCACUAAGACACAGAGGCAUAAUCCAAAGACUAGAGCCAUAAUAGGAAAAAAAAGAAACCAAUGAAUAUCACCACAAAUGCCAAAUAAUAAAUGCAGCAAUUCAAGAAACAAGAAUAAGUAAAACAUGAUGACAUCACCAAAAGAAUACUUCAAUACUAGAAUGUGAAGAUGAAGAGAUUGAAGAAUGCCAGAAAUGGAGUUGAAAAAAUUGAUUGUAGGAUUUCUUAGAAGUAAUCAAAAGCAAAUCCCUGAACUAAUGAAAUCCAUACAUAACAUGAAAGAAAAAUUCUGCCCCAAAAUUGAGAUCUUAAAGAAAAAUAAAAAUGAAAUCAUGGAAAUGAAGAAUUCAAUAGACCAGAAAAGAUGCAAUGCAAAGUCUUAAUAGAAUUGGCAAAGCAGAAGAAAGAAUACCCAACUUAGAAGAUAAAUCACAGGAAAUUAUAUAGUCAGACAAAAAAUAAGAAAUUAGAAAACCAAAGAACACUGCUGUAAAUCUACAGGAUACUAUCAAACUCCCUAACAUACAAGUUCUACAAAUUCCUGAAGGCAUGGAAAGAGAGAAAGGAUUAGAAGGCAUUUUAGUGAAAUAAUAACAGAGAACUUCCCUAAUUUGGAGAAAGAAAGGGACAUCCAAGUACAGGAAAAACACAGAGCUCUUAAAAGACAUGACCAGAAAAGAUCUUCACCAUGAUCCAUCAUAGUCAAACUCUCCACAAUCAAACAUAAAGAAAAGACUCUAAAAUGUGCAUGAGAGAAAUGCUGGAUUACUUUCAGAGGAUCUCCAAUUAGACUCACUUCUCUUCAGAAACCCUACAGGCUAGGAGAGAAUGGUGAGAUAUAUUCCAAGUCUAGAGAAAAAACUGUCAACCCAGAAUACUGUACCCUACAAAGCUCUCAUUUAUGAAUGAAGGUGAAACAAAGACCUCCCAUAAAAAUCAGAAAUUGAAAGAAUUUGUCAUCAUCCAUCCAGUCUUACAAAAUGUGCUUAAGGAUGUGCUACAUACAGAAACACAGAAAUAUGAUCAUCACUACAAAACAAGGUGAAGCCAGAAAAUUUCCCAGUAAAAGUACAAAGGAAAUCCAAACUAAACAAUAGAAAUAUUUAUGGAAAAAUGGCAGGGCCAAGUGGUUACUUCUCAAUAGUCACCUUGAAGGUAAAUGGCCUCAACACUCCAGUUAAAAGACACAAACCAGCUGAAUGGAUUAAAAAACAAAACCCAUAUGUUUUCUGCCUACAAGAAACACAUUUCACCAACAAAGAUACCCACAGACCAAAAGUGAAAGGAUGGAAAAAGAUACUCCAUGCUAAUAGAAACUAAAAAAGCUGGUGUAGCCAUCCUAAUAUCAGAAAAAAUAUACUUUAAACACAAAAACUAUUAAAAGAUACAGAGGGGCACUAUAUAAUGAUUAAGGGAUCAAUUCAACAGGAAGAGGUAACUAUUAUGAACAUAUAUGCACCUAAUUACAGGGCACCUGGAUAUUUAAAAGAAAUGUUAAGGGAUCUAAAAGGAGACAUAGACUAUAAUACAAUAUUAAUGGGGGACUCAAUACCCCACUUUCAGCAAUGGACAGAUCAGCCAGACAGAAAAUCAGCAAGGAAACAGCAGAGUUCAUCGAGACUAUACAUCAAAUGGACCUAACAGAUAUCUACAGAACAUUCCAUCCUACAGCCACAGAAUACACAUUCUUCUCAUCUGUGCAUGGAACCUUCUCUAGGAUUGACCACAUGCUAGACCACAAAGCAAAUCUCAGCAAAUUCAAAAAAAUCAAAAUCAUACCAUGCGCCUUCUCAGAUGACGCAAUGAAGCUGGAAAUCAGCUACUCAGGAAUCUCUAGAACAUAUGCAGACACAUGGAGACUGAACAACAUGUUACUGAAUGAACAGUGGGUCUUUGAAGAAAUCAAAAGAGAAAGAGAAGAUGACAAUACAACAUAUCAAAACUUGUGGGAUACAGCAAAAGCAGUGUUAAGAGGAAAGUUUAUGGCAAUUGGUGUCUACAUCAAGAAAUUGGAAAGACACCAAAUACAUGAGCUAUCAAAGCAUCUCAAGAAUCUAGAAAAACAACAACAAAGCAAACCCAAAACUAGUAGGAGAAAAGAAUUAGAGAAUAAACAAAAUUGAAUACAAGAGAUCAGUAAAAUGAAGAGCUAGUUUUUUGAAAAAAAUAAACCAAAUGGACACACCAUUGGCCCAACUAACCAAAAAAAGGAGAGAGAAGACCCAAGUCAAAAAAAUCAGAGAUGAAAAAGGAAAUGAAAUGACACCACAGAAAUAAAAAGAAUCAUCAGAAAUUACUACCAAGAGCUGUAUGCCAACAAACUGGGGAAAACUAGAAGAAAUGGAUAGAUUCCUGAACACAUACAACCUACCUGGAUUGAGCCAUGAAGACAUAGAAAACCUAAACAUACCAGGGCCGGUGCUGUGGUGCAGCAGGUUAAUGCUCUGGCCUGAAGUGCCAGCAUCCCAUAUGGAUGCUAAUUUGAGACCUGGUUGCUCCACUUCUAAUGCAGCUCUCUGCUAUGGCCUGGGAAAGCAUGCCAUCUUCUGAUGGCCCAAAUCCUUGGGCCCCUGCAUCCACAUGGGAGACCCAGAGGAAGCUCCUGGCUCCUGGUUUUGGAUUGGCACAGCUCCGGCUGUUGUGGCCAACUGGGGAGUGAACCAUUGGAUGGAAGUCUCUCUCUCUCUCUCUCUCUCUGUAACUCUCUGUAACUCUUUCAAAUAAAUAAAUAAAUCUUAAAAAAAGAAAACCUAAACAUAACCAUAACCAAGACAGAAACUGAAUCAGUAAUAAGACUUUCCAAGCAAAGAAAAGCCCAGGAUUGGAUGGCUUCACUGCUGAAUUCUACUAGUUCUUCUUAAAGAAGAACUAACUCCAAUUAUUCUCAAGUUAUUCAAAUUGAAUGUUCAGUAUUUCAAAACUGAAAAGGAGGGAAUCCUCCCAAAUUCUCAUGAAGCCAGCAUCACCUUAAUUCCUAAUCCUGAAAAAGAUAAAAUGGAGAAAAAACUAUAGACCAAUUUCUAUGAUGAACAUAGAUGCAAAAAUCCUCAACAAAAUACCAGCCCAUUGAAUCCAACAACACAUCAGAAAGAUCAUUCACUCAGACCAGGUGGGAUUUAUCCCUGGUAUGCAGGGAUGGUUCAACAUUUCCAAGUCAAUCAAUGUGAUAGAUCAGAUUAACAAAUUGAAGAACAAAAACCAUAUGAUUAUCUUAAUAGAUGCAGAUUAAGCACUUGAUAAAAUACCCUUUCAUGAUGAAAACUCUAAGCAAACUGCGGAUAAAAGGACCAUUCCUCAACACAAUCAAGGCAAUUUAUGACAAACUCAUGACCAGCAUCUUGUUGAAUGGGAGAAAAGUUGGAAGCAGUCCCACUAAGAUCUGGAACCAGACAGGGGUGUCCAUUCUCACCAUUGCUAGUCAAUAUAGUCCCAGAAGUCUUAGCCAGAGCCAUUAGACAAAAAAAAAAAAAAAAAAAAAAAAAAAAAAAAAAAAAAAAAAAUCGAAAUCAACGGAAUUCAAAUUGGGAAGGAAGAAGUCAAACUACCCCUAUUUGCAGAUGACAUGAUUCUAUAUAUAGGGGAUCCAAAAGACUUCACCAAAAGAUUAUUGCAUCUCAUAGAAGAGUUUGGUAAAGUAGCAGGAAAUAAAAUUAACACAAAAAAAUCAACAGCCUUUGAAUAUGCAUACAAUGACACAGCUGAGAAUGAAUCUCAUUCAUAAUAGCUACCAAAAAAAAAAAAAAAACACCAAGCCGGCGCCGUGGCUCAAUAGGCUAAUCCUCCACCUUGCGGCGCCGGCACACCGGGUUCUAGUCCCGGUUGGGGCGCCGGAUUCUGUCCCGGUUGCCCCUCUUCCAGGCCAGCUCUCUGCUGUGGCCAGGGAGUGCAGUGGAGGAUGGCCCAGGUGCUUGGGCCCUGCACCCCAUGGGAGACCAGGAAAAGCACCUGGCUCCUGGCUCCUGCCAGGAUCAGCGCGGUGCGCCGGCUGCAGCGGCGGCCAUUGGAGGGUGAACCAGCGGCAAAGGAAGACCUUUCUCUCUCUGUCUCUCUCUCUCACUGUCCACUCUGCCUGUAAAAAAAAAAAAAAAAAAAAAAAAAAAAAAAAAAAAAAAACA
This is a non-coding RNA of Oryctolagus cuniculus (rabbit), 25994 nucleotides long. Lineage: Eukaryota; Metazoa; Chordata; Mammalia; Lagomorpha; Leporidae. The record is from RefSeq and is a predicted model, not a curated record.